Phyllopteryx taeniolatus (common seadragon) is the source of this 2482-nucleotide long non-coding RNA. RefSeq lists it as uncharacterized. The record is from RefSeq and is a predicted model, not a curated record. Lineage: Eukaryota; Metazoa; Chordata; Actinopteri; Syngnathiformes; Syngnathidae. The transcript is spliced from 3 exons.
ACACAGAUGUGAAAAGAGAAUGCACCUCAUUAGACAAAAAUGUUGACUUUUGUCCAAAGUUAGCUGUGAAUAGGUGUCAAACUCAAGGACCGGGGGCCACAUCUGGACCGCCACACCAUUUUAUGUGGCCCACAAAAGCAGAUUAUUUGAAUCAGCUUCUAUGAUACUUGCUAAAAUCUGGACCAACAUUUCAAAUUGUUGUAUGUAAUAAUAACGUGGAGAUAUUACAGGUAUAUUACAAGCAUUUUUUGUUACUAAACCCAUUGUUUUAAAGUAACUUGAUCAGUAGUUGAACAAACAAUUACCCCUGACUUCUGUUUUCAAAUAGAGUUAUCCAUCAAUUUGUUGUGUGGACCGGGCCCCCCCAAAAAAAUGAAAAAAUUGUAAAGAAUUGAAAAAUAAUUUCAAUAAAAAAAUAAAGAAAUAAUAAUCAUCGAAUAGGUAAAUCUGCAGGUGCCAACCCAUGAGUAUGUGGGGCUCCACUGAUUUAUAAUGCGGCGAUGAAACAUUUAUAUGCUUUCAAAGUCAUAAGGGCCCUCUGAGGGGAAUUGUAGCGACAAUGUGGCCCGUGACAAAAAUGAGUUUGACACCCCUGGUCGAGAUGAUCAAUAAAAUAACACAGUGCUUGUAACUCAAAAGACUCAUAUCUCAAAUCAUCAGCCGAGGUUAUUAUAGUACACGAAAAUUAACGAAAUAACUAAAACUAAAAUUGAAAAAACAUUUUCGUAAAUGAAGUAAAGUAAAAAGGAGACUGUUGUUGAAAAACGAUAACUAAAAUGACAUUUUAUGUUGACAAAACUAACAAAAAGAAGCUAUAAUUAAAGCAAAAAUAUCAUUAGUUUUCAUCUUUGUCGAUUGAUUUCAUAAAUGAACUUUUGGUGUUGAUUUUAAAUAUAUUUAUUUCGGAUAACUACAUAGAUACAGCACAGAUACGAAAGGAAGGUCGAUCAGUCCUUUGGGAAUUUUUGUUCACUUACUAUAUAUUGCUAGAAACGAUAUCAUCGGGCAGCACCGUUGUAUUGACUGCUCGCCAGACCAAGCACAAAUAAGCUAACUUUUACGUCCAAGCUGUUUUUGUUGCCAUGUGUUGCUAACGGAAGCGGCUAAGACGGCUACCGACUAGCUAGCGCCUUUGCACGUCCGUUAUUCUUGUCUUGGGGAAAACUCCGAGAAACAGACGACUGCCAAGCGUCUCAAUAUGCCGCUGUUUCCUGCCACAAAAGGCAGACAGAUGUGAAAGCAAACAAGGAGUUUGUCUCUCUGACACAGUAGGUAAUUGGACGACUGCAACAACAGGACAUUUUCACAGGACUAAAUAAGCAACAGCAGGAAAACUUGAAAAGCUUUGUCACAAAAAUCAUGGACUCAGCAAGAAAACAGACUGGAUGCCCUUUCACUGGAAAUACACCAACAUAGAAAGCAUCUCUACUGGGCCACGGAGAAGAAGGACUGGACUGUUGGCCAGUGGUCAUAGGUCCUCUUUUCCGAUGAAAGUAAAGUGUGCCUUUCAUUCGGGAAUCAAGGUCCCAGGGUUUGGAGGAAGACUGGUGAAGAACAGAACCCAAGCUGCUUGAGGUCACUGCAACAGUUACCAGAAUGUUUGAGAGGACUUCAUGAUUCCUUCUGCUGACGAUCUGUAUGGAAAUGCAGAUUUCAUCUUCCUGCAGGACCUGGCCCCUGCCCAUACCACCAGAAGCACCAAAACCGGGUUGGAUGCCCAUGACGUCGCAAUGCUUGACUGGCCAGCCAACUCGCCUGAUCUAAACCCCAUUGAUAAUCUAUGGGGUAUUAUCAAGAGAAAAAUGGGGGGCACCAGACCCAAAAGCAAAGACGAACUGACAGCAAGCAUCAAGGAAAGCUGGGCUUGCAUAACUCCCAGGCAAUGUCACAGGCUGAUUGUCUCAAUGCCCCGGCGCAUCGAGGCAGUGAUUAAAGCAAAGGGAUUCCCAACCAAGUAUUGAAGCUGAACGUUUUGAAAGUACCAUAUUUUGUUAGAUUUAAUGUGACCCUAAUUUCUUUCCUUUUUUCUCUGCAAAAACUGAUAAGUAAAUGGGGAUUUCUUCACAGUAUUCAAAUUUGUUGAAUUCCUGAUUUUGUGGGUCUUAGAGCGGGAAGCCCAAAUUAUGUAAAAAUAAACAAAUAAAUACUUGAAAUUGUUUAAAUUGUGGGCCCCGAAUCUAUAAUCUAUGAAAGUUUUACUUUUUGAAUGAAAUUAUGGAAAUAAAGAAACUUUUUCAUGAUAUUCGAAUUUUUUGGAAAGGGUCUGUAUAUUGUUGCUGGAUUAGGGUUAGGUUAAAAUGACAAAAUUAUGGGGACAAAAAUGAUUGGAAACACUGUAUAGCUGGUGGGGACAAAGGAAUGUACUGUACUAUUAUGUGGCAGUAUUAACUCAUGUUUUAUAUAUAACUGUUGGGUGGAAUGCCCUCACCUCCAAAAUCACAACUUUUCAGAAAAAAAAGACGUUACACUGUCAUAAGAACAA